GCUUGGGUACUGGAAAAAUGCGAUUCACCUAUUAUGCAAGAAUAAAAUUAACAAAGGACUAUGUUUUCCAAGUCUCAGGUCAUAAACAAUUAUUAAAGUGAAACUUGAUCAAACCUCUAUAAAUGGAACUUAGGAAUACAGUUAUGACUUAAUGUUAUGAGAGAUGUAACAAUAAAAUUUCACCAUAGUCACCUUAAGAGAUGGUUGGCCGUCUGAUCGAGUCCUCACAAUCCACUUCAGGCGGAAAGAAAUUUAUAAUUUCCGCUUUGACUGGGAAUGAAACCCGAUUCUCCCGGACUCACAGUCUCUUUAAAAAUCCUUUUAGCCAAACGUCAUAAGAAACUUGCCUGGCCUACUAGAUUAUAUAAGCAGGUUUGAUAGGCAUCAAAAAUUAAACCAUGGCAUUGAUAAAUAAUUUAAUUGGAAACUUUGGUAAAUAUCAACUAUGUCUGUGUCUUAUUGUUUUCACCAGUAAAUUCGGUGUAGCAUUUCAUCAAAUGGCAAUAUUGUAUCUGGCGCCACCAGUACGUUACAGUUGUCCAAACGAUAAAACCUGCUGCGAUAAUCCCGUCUAUGACAAAUCAGUUUUCACAAGGACCAUUGUUAUGGAGUGGAAUUUAAUAUGUGAAAAGGCGUGGUUAAAAGACUUCACCCAAACGCUCUUUCAAUUCGGUGUUCUAAGCGGAAGUCUCUUGUUUGGCAUUGCCUCUGACAGAUUUGGCAGAAGACCCACAUUGUUAUUGGCGGUGCUCCUUGAAAUCUUCUUGGGAGUUAUGUCAUCUUUUCUUCCGGACUAUUGGAGUUUCACUAUCGUUCGGAUGUUUCUUGGAUUAUCUGUGGGAGGAAUAAUGGUCGUUGGAUUUGUGCUUAUUGUGGAAUAUGUUGGAGGGGCUUAUAAAGAUUCUAUAUCGGCACUUUUUCACAUUCCAUUCACUCUUGGUCAUAUAUUGUUAGCACUGUUUGGCUUUCUAAUAAGAGAUUAUGUUCAUUUUCAAUUGGGGAUAUCUUUGGCAACUAUAGUACUUCUUAUAUAUAUCUGCAUACUGCCAGAAUCACCAAGAUGGCUUAUGGCAACUGGCAAAGUUUUGAGAGCUAUUAAACAAAUGGAACGCGUAGCAAAAAUCAACAACCUUCCCACUGAAGAUAUAGAACGCCAAAUGCAAUUGUAUCUAAUCGAAUGUUUGAGGUCUGGGCAUAGAAAAGGGACUGUGCUAGAUUUGUUUCGAAAUCCCAGCCUGAGGAGAAAUAUUAUUAUAAUGUGUUUUCUCUGGUUUGUUUGUAGCUACAGUUUCUACGGAAUGGCGCAUUAUAUAAGUCACUUGACUGGAAAUGUGCAUCUGAACAUCGUGGCUUGCGGAACAGUGUGUCUUUGUGCUUGCCUCAUUGCAAUCCCACUUAUUAAGGUCUCUAAACGAAAAACCUUAGUAUGUGUCCCAAACGUAAUGUCGAGUGUAUGUUUUUUGUUUAUUAUAUUUAUUCCAGAUGGAAUUGCAUCAAUAAUUAUGGGUUGUUUGGGAAUAUGGUGCAGUUUUUUAGUUUUUAUAGUUAUUUACCUCUAUUGUUCUGAAAUGUUUCCGACAGUAGUUCGAAGUUCAGCGUUAGGAAUAGCGUCAAUGAUGGCGCGGUUAGGCGCGAUGGUAGCACCUUUUGCCGCAGCCUUAAAACCGUUCGGAAGAUGGUGUUCACCAUUAGCAUUCGGAAUUUUACCGCUAGUUGCAGCUCUCCUUUGUUUAGUCUUACCAGAGACAAAGGAUUGCGACUUAAUGAUGACAAUCCCAGACGGGCAAGUUCUCGAAAGAAGAAACACUGAAACUAGUACUGAAGAAGAAAGAUAAUCCAGUUUUAAUCUACUAUGUAAAACAUUUUCAAUACCGAGUUUGUAAAGUACAUACAAAAUAAACUACUGUAAUCUAAAACGUUUUACAAAUGAUUGUAAUUUUAUUGUUUGUUAAUGAUGAAUGGUUUUCUACCUUCAUAAUCUAGAUUUGCCAUAUCUUCUACUUAAUCCAACGUUAUGUAACUCGUAAAUUAUUGAAUUUGAACUAAGUUUCUAAGGAUUCUAAUCUAUUGAUGGAAUUUCUACGGCUUCCCCAGUCGACCGUCAGUUUAUGCCUGCCGACAUGGCGGCAGGCCCAAUCAUUUGUGGUGCUUGGUAUUUCACCAUAUUAGCUGGGUUUUACAUCCUUUACUGUCCGGUAAUGUAUUUGAUGUUUAUCAAUCAUCACUUAUACAGGAAGAUAGUAGAUUUACUCUUUGCAUUAUGGGAGCUGUACCCCGUC
Molecule: RNA transcript, 2279 nt
Organism: Pieris brassicae (large cabbage white)
Lineage: Eukaryota; Metazoa; Arthropoda; Insecta; Lepidoptera; Pieridae
Gene name: lysocardiolipin acyltransferase 1-like
Exons: 4
Source: RefSeq, a predicted model, not a curated record